Molecule: ribosomal RNA, 256 nt
Filed under: uncultured bacterium
Lineage: Bacteria
Description: partial 16S ribosomal RNA
Rfam family: Bacterial small subunit ribosomal RNA
Source: RNAcentral
CCUGCCCUACGGGAGGCAGCAGUAGGGAAUCUUCCACAAUGGACGAAAGUCUGAUGGAGCAACGCCGCGUGAGUGAAGAAGGGUUUCGGCUCGUAAAGCUCUGAUGGUAGUGGAGAAAGAUAGAGGUAGUAACUUGCCUUUAUUUGACGGUAAUUACUUAGAAAGUCACGGCUAACUACGUGCCAGCAGCCGCGGUAAUAAGUAGGUGGCGAGCGUUUUCCGGAUUUAUUGGGCGUAAAGCGAGUGCAGGCGGGUC